Long non-coding RNA from Lytechinus pictus (painted urchin), 662 nucleotides. RefSeq lists it as uncharacterized. The record is from RefSeq and is a predicted model, not a curated record. Lineage: Eukaryota; Metazoa; Echinodermata; Echinoidea; Temnopleuroida; Toxopneustidae. The transcript has 5 exons.
GUUAAACAUUAAUUAUCUCUUUGUCGAAAUACAAUGUUCUGUAUACCUUGCGUGGUUCUUAUUUGUUAAUAAGAUGUAGAUCAAGUUGCAGAGGAGAGGCGGAUAGGCCUUUAUACUACCAUUGAUCCGAUGAGAGAAGUUUUCAAAACAUCAUUUUGUUCUGCAUUGAACUUUUUCGUGGUUGUGACACAUAGCAUAUCGAAUUUUUGUGCAGCUUCAAAACAUAUAUGGUGGAGAAUAAUGCUGUAUCGUCAAUAUUGCAUUCCAUGAAGAAUCCGUUUUUUCUUAAAAAGGCGUAGUCAAUCUCCUUGUUUAGUAUUCUGCCUCAUAUCAUAUAGGCCUAUCUGCCAUGUCGAUGUGGAAAUUGUGUAUUUGCCACGGAGGAGCAUGCAUUACAUGCAUACAUACAUGUGGUCAGCAAUGAGUGCAGAAGACUACAAUGCCUAAGAUGUGCCGAGAGCUGAUGAAUUGGGAUUAACAUUGAUAUACCAAGUGUCCUCCAAGAUCAGGAUGAAGUGUAGUGUUAUGGAUAUACAUGACCAUGGCAGCAUACAGAACAUGCACAUCCAAGAACACAUUUAUACUGCUCGUUGCCUUGACAACCCUUCUGAUGUCAUUCACUAUCUUACAACUAAACCAAGGAAUAGCAAGCUCAAAUGUUU